RNAcentral lists this ribosomal RNA (301 nucleotides) under uncultured bacterium. RNAcentral describes it as "partial 16S ribosomal RNA". It matches the Rfam family "Bacterial small subunit ribosomal RNA", at positions 509 to 807 of the family's 1533-position model. The record is from RNAcentral.
CAGCCGCCGCGGUAAUACGUAGGGUGCAAGCGUUAAUCGGAAUUACUGGGCGUAAAGCGUGCGCAGGCGGUUAUAUAAGACAGAUGUGAAAUCCCCGGGCUCAACCUGGGAACUGCAUUUGUGACUGUAUAGCUAGAGUACGGCAGAGGGGGAUGGAAUUCCGCGUGUAGCAGAGAAAUGCGUAGAUAUGCGGAGGAACACCGAUGGCGAAGGCAAUCCCCUGGGCCUGUACUGACGCUCAUGCACGAAAGCGUGGGGAGCAAACAGGAUUAGAUACCCGGGUAGUCCCUGUCUCUUAUAC